Long non-coding RNA from Dermochelys coriacea (leatherback sea turtle), 7388 nucleotides. RefSeq lists it as uncharacterized. The record is from RefSeq and is a predicted model, not a curated record. NCBI's taxonomy places the organism in Eukaryota, Metazoa, Chordata, Testudines, Dermochelyidae. The transcript is spliced from 3 exons.
AGGCUAUGUAUUCCCGCCCCAGGCAGGGGUAGCAGGAGAGAAGCCUGUGCCAUUGAAGGCUCUCGCCAGUCCCUUUCCAUUUCAGCACGUAACGAGCACGAGGAUCCGCAGCGAGCGGCCACCUCGCAGCCCGGCCGGAAGGGAAACCCCGGGACGCGCCAACAGCAGCCCGCACGUUUCGCACAUCGCCCCAGCGAGCGGACAAGGGCGGGAACCCGGCCGGGCCGUAGCUCCUGGAGUCUUUUGAUUACAUGAGAAUCCCAACUUUAAUUAACAAGCUUUUCUCUGCAACUCUGAGGGACAGAAACUUUUAAGAAACUGAAAUGAUAAAGACUCAGAAUAAGCAUGCAAGUUUAAAAAAAAAUGCCCUAAUUUAUUAUUUUUUAUAAUCUCAUGGUUUUUAUGCAAUUCUCAUGAUGUUUUGGGGCCUGACUCAUGACCUUUAAAAGUUUAAAACUGGGACCACUGCCUUCUGCACAGGGGUGAAUUUUACUCAAUGUGAUUUCUUUCUGAUUUUAUUUCCUCUGAAGAGAUCUCCUGGAGCUCAUUGCAGUCAGCAGAUUGCCACCUUAUGCUAUACUGCCUCCUCUCUCUUCCCCUGUUUAUUCCCCAUGUCAAGAGUGUAAUCAACGAUAUUUGCCUAAGAAGAUUUCAAGUGAAAAGUUUUAGCCGAUAUAUUAUUACAAAAGACAGCAAAAUCUAGAGCAACUUGACAAACCUAAAAAACCUGAAACUGGCUAAGAAAUUGUACACAAAACACAUGAGUGUUAAAAGUCAUUAUAAUAAAACCCCUGAGACAAGGAGAGAGAACUCACAGACUACAAAGGACAAAGGACAAAUUCCAGCCUACAUGCACAAGGUGUAGAAAAAGUCACAUCCCAAGAGAUGAUGCAUGUCCAACCAGAGGCACACACUGUAAUAAAUGCAUAAAAUAUGGACAUUUUGCUUCUGUUUGCCACAUCAAGUCAGUCAAGGAGUUGAUUCAUAUUGCAGACAAUCAGGAGCUGACGUUUCUGGGAUCUAUUACUGUUGACAUAGAGGCUUCCUGGAAAGUGAAACUGAAUAUUCAUGGCAAGAUUACUGACUUUAAAAAUUGACUCAGUAGCUGAUGUCACAGUCAUAUCCAGUCUCCUUCAACCCCUUCCAGAGCUGAAGUCACCUGCCACAGCUCUGACUAGUCCUAGAGGUAUUCUGCACUGCCCAGGCCAGUUCACCACAGAAACAACUUACAAAGACAAAGCUAUGGAUUCAGAGUCUAUGUGAUCAAAGGACCACAGACCAACAGCCUCUUGGCCCUAUGUGUGGCAGACACAAUGGGCCUAGUGAGAAAGGUGGAAGAAUUCAAUAGAAUAUUUGGUGAUAUUGGACUUUUGAAAGACAAUCCAGUACAAAUAACAUUAAGAGACAAUGCAGAACCAUGUAGUGUUCAUUCACCCCAUAGGAUUCCUAUCCCAUUACUUCAUACUGAGUUAAAGAGAAUGGAGCAGAUUCUCUUGAUUAUGCCAAUGUCUGAGCCAACAACAUGGGUGUGUCCCAAUGUUACCAGUUAUAAAGAAAAAUGGAAAAAAAUACAAAUCUGUGUGGAUCUUAAAAGAUUUAACGAAGCAGUUGUAAUAGAAAAAUAUUUCCUUCUACUAUUGGAUGACUUCCUCCCCAAAGUGAAAGGAGCUACAGUAUACUCUAAGCAAGAUGCCUCAAGCAGAUUCUGGAAAAUUCCUUUAGCCAAAAAAAGUGCUAAACUGACUACAUUUAUGACACCCUUUGAUAGAUUUUGCUUUUGAACAUUAUAUUUGAUCAGUGCACCUGAAAUUUUCUAAAGAAAGAUGACAGAAUUGUUAAGGAAUAGAAAUGGAGCUCUCAUUUUCAUGGAUGAUAUUCUGACAUAAAAAUUUUCAAUGGAAGAAUAACAAAACUCUCAACAGAGUCCUGAGCCUAAUCCGUCAGUUUUAGUCCAGACUAAACAAGGAAAAAUGCAUUUUCCGCCUACCCCAAAUGGAAUUUUUGGGACCGAUAAUAAACAAAGAUGGAAUCAGUGUUAAGCCUGAGACAGUAAAAGUGUAACCCUUCUGCCAGCUGGUGCCGGCAGCAACUAGUGCCGGGUUCAAUAUCUAGAGGUUCCUUUUCAAAAAUACAACACAGAGCCGUUUCAAGCCCCCACUCUGUAACCUGGGGAAAUUACACGCCACCCCUCAGUGCCCCUCUCGCAAGCACAGAAUCUGAGUGUAGAAAAGAAAAUUUUUAAUGAAAGAAGGGAAAUCACCCAGCAUUAAUUAGGAAAAAGGCCACAAGCAGGAUUAAUAAUCAUAAAACUGUGAGCAGGACACCUAUCCCAGAGUGCAUGGGACAGUGUUUUCUACCUCAUGUUCUUGAGUUCUACAACCAAAAGUUCCUUUACUGUGCCCCUCUCUCUUUCCUCACCAUACCCUACUCACAGUGGUUGUCCUUGGUCAGUGAGGACCCAGGGUUCAGAGGUGCAUCUGUGUGAGUUCACCUCCCACCCAGGGAAGAAGACACCUAUCUUGCUCCACCUGAAUACUUGCACCUUGCUGACUGUUCCUCCUCCGCCACUCCCCUUGGCUGCCCCCCGCCAGCUGCCCACUGCUGCUCGCCGCCCGCAGUAGACACUCACGGAGCCCAGCAUUGCUCUCAACAACCCGUGAGUUUGAAGAUGAUGCAGAUGCAUAUGUCUUUGGCGGCUGCUGUGGAUACUUACAGACCAGUGUCAGAAAAGAGUCUACACCAGCUACAAAAAAGCAGCCUUGACAGACAUUCAGCUUCUAAGAAAUUUCUAAGAUACAUUGGGACGGCUGGACCAAGUACCUAAAGAACACUAAGGAAGCAACAAGAGACCGUUUUGUGGCACGUGGACAAUUAAGCCAAUCAAAUGGACUCACGAUUAAAGACAAUUGAAUUGUAAUUCCAGACAAAAUGAGAAGAGAAAUCCUAAAUCUCCUCCAUGAAGGACAUUGGGGAUUAAAAGAACAGGAGUGCUUGUGGCACCUUAGAGACUAACAAAUUUAUUUGAGCAUAAGCUUUCGUGAGCUACAGCUCACUUCAUUGGAUGCAUGCAGUGGAAAAUACAGUGGGGGGAUUUUAUAUAUACAGAGAACAUGAAACAAUGGGUGUUACCAUACACACUGUAACAAGAGUGAUCAGGUAAGGUGAGCUAUUACCAGCAGGAGAGAAAAAAAUAAACACUGUAGAUGGGUCAACCAGUCAGUGUGGUGGCUGGGCAUCAGCAAGGACAUAAAGAAUAAGCAUCUGCAUGUGAACAUUGAAGAACUAACAGACCAACACAACACAACACAAAGAACCUUUAAUAACAAUACUUCUACCAGAUAGACCUUGGAACAGACUAACUGCAGAUUUCUGCAAAUUCAGAAGACAUCAUUAUCUGGUUGUUGUGGACUAAUUUUCCAGGUAUGUAGAAAUAAUGCACUUUAAAGACAUAACAUGUCACAGGGUUAUCAAGAAACUCAAGUUCACUUUUGCUCAUUUUGGUAUUCCAGAACAACUAAUGAUGGAUAAUAGACUUGUAGCACCUUAGAGACUAACAAAUUUAUUUGUUAAUUUAUUCACUGCAGUAAAAUUUAAGUCCUUCUGAACAAAAUAUGAUUUCGGUCAUAUUACCAGCAGCCCACAUUGCCUACAAGCAAAUGGAGAGACAGACAGUUGUACAGAUAGCCAAGAAAAUCCUACAGCAGGAAGAUCCAUUCCUUCCUCUUCUGAGUUAUAGAUCAACAACAGCUAACAUGGAAUAUAUUAUGUUUAAAAUGUUUUCAGGAUAUUUUGCUGUUUUAUAUAUAUGAUUAAACAGCACAGUGAAAAGGACAGUCACUUGUAAUGAUUGCCUGGUGCUUCUAGGUCAUUUAGACUUCUAUUUGGGUAAGCAGAGUCAGAAUGAGCUCUACCCUGACAUCUGGUGGUGAGCUGUGGAAAAAGACUUUAGGGGCUGAUCUCGUUUGCAUGGGCACACCCACCCUGCCUAGCAUGAUGGACUGCUUGCCCAAAUGGUCACUUUGGCUGCUCUGGGAUCCCAGUCUCUUUGUUAUUGGGACAGGAGUAGUAAAGGGUUGUUAUCCUGGUUAUGUGAAUCAAGGACAGUAGAAUUGUACUUGGCAUUUUAUGACGGAGGGACUCGCCCUCAACUAAGUAGCACUUGCUAGGCAAGGGACAUGGGUUCCAAAACCCAGUGAAUUGUGGGGGGCCGGGGCCAAAAUACUAUGUUGACUCCCCUCUGUGUAAUAAUAGAGCUAAUUUUAGCUCUAUUAGGAGUCUUGUUAUGUGCUGCAGAGCUGAAACCACUAAAGAGCUGAAAUUACUAAGAGCUGAGAUCCCUGAGAGCUGUGUUAAGUGUGUGUGUGGGGGGCCUGAAGACAAGUUGGUGAGCAGACAGCAGGACAGCUAGCAGGGAGAGCAGAGUGCAGUGGAUAGCUGGUAGAGAGGAGCAGACAGCAGGAUGGCUAGCGGAGAGCAGAGAGGAGUGGAGUGGAUAGCUGGGUGGCUGGUGGAUAGAAGUGGCCAGCAGGAUAGCUGGCGGAGAGAUGCAGCUGACGGUGAAGACUGCAGCAGAACCCCAUGGAGAAGCGUGACACUCGGCCAUUGACUCGAGCAGCGGAUCAUGUAAGAUGCCCCCCAUACCUCCCUCCACUUCCACCCAGGCUGGGAGGUAAACUCUGCAGAUGAACUUCUGAACUCUGGGGGACUGCACUUAUCAAGGGCAGAAACUCUGUGUGUGUGUGUGGGGGGGGGUGACUAUUGAGUUGCUGGACUUAAGACCCUGUGGGGAAAAGGACACUGCCAAACUUACUUGGUGGUGGGUCUUUUGCUCACGGUUGGUAUUAUGAAUCCUGUUUGUGGUGUUUCCCCAACAUAAUGCUGCAUUGCUUCCCUCCUUUAUUAAAAGGCUUUUGCUACACUCAGACUCUGUACUUGCAAGAGGGGAAGUAUUGCCUCUUAGAGGCACCCAGAAGGGUGGUAUGUAAUUGUCCCAGGUCACUAGGUGGGGGCUCGAUCCGAUUUUGUAUUGUGUUAUUGAAACGAAACCCCUAGAUACUGAACCCGGCCCUUGUUGCUGCCAACUCUGAUGGGCAGAAGGGUUACAUAUAUGAUUAAACAGCACAGUGAAAAGGACAGUCACUUGUAAUGAUUGCCUGGUGCUUCUAGGUCAUUUAGUCUUCUAUUUGGUCAUAGUACAACUCCUGAUGGGAAGACAACUCAGAACUACUGUUCCAACAUUGGAAUAGAAUCUGUCUCCAAAGUGACCAAACAUGAAGAGUGUAGCCAAACUGGAUAAAAAGUUUAAAAGAGCUUAUGAACACUUUUACAACAAAUAUCACUCCAUUAGAGAAUUACCAGAUCUAGAACCUAGUGACCAUCUUCAUGUGAAAUUGAAUGAAGAAAACGGAGGGACAACACCAGAUGUCAUGAAGAAAAAGAAUUCAGCACCCAGAUCCUAUGUGAUCAAGACCAACAAUGGAGAGUUCAACAGAAACCAUCAACAUCUACAGUUUGUUCCUCAAAAAACAAAAACAAAAACCCAACCCCCCAAAAAACAAACAGCAAACUCUAUGGAUGACAUAUGCAGAACAAGAAGAUGAUGACUCAAGGAUUUUAAAGCAACCACAACCAGUCAUUGCAGAUGACCAAGUUGUUAUACGGUCAAAUUGUGUAAUUAAAAAAACAGUACUAUUCAGAGUCACUUAACAGACUCAUACGGACUGAACUUCAAAAUGUAUUGUGAUAGUUUUAAAUGUUGUAUAUUAGGGGUGACCAACCUGAGCCUGAGAAGGAGCCAGAAUUUACCAAUGAACAUUGCCAAAGAAUCACAGUAAUACAUCAACAGCCCCCCAUCAGCUCCCCCACCCUGCUCCCAGCGACUCCCACCCACCAACAGCCCCGCCCAUUAACAUCUCCCACACCCUCCUUGCACCUCCCAAUCAGAUGUUUCGUGGCAUGCAGGAGGCUCUGGGGGGGAGGGGGAAGAGCGAGGACACAGCAGGUUUAGGGGAGGGCGCGGGAAGGGGUGGAGUGGGGGCAGGGCCUGUGGCAGAGCCAGGGGUUGAGCAGUGCUCAUCCCCUGGCACAUUGGAAAGUUGGCACCUGUAGCUUCAGUCCCGGAGUCGGUGCCUAUACAAAGAACCGCAUAUUAACUUAUGAAGAGCUGCAUGCACAGAUUGGCCACCCCUGUUGUAUAUGGUAGGAAUGUAAAACAUAAAGGAAGAGAUGUAAUGGAAUCCUAAAUUGUAUUAUGCUGUUUAGCCAGUAGGUGGCACUGUGUAUAAAAUGCCUUAUUUAAACCUAACAGCCAUACCGAGAAGAGCAUUAAAGGAUCUUCUGAUGAACUCAUCUGGUAUGUAUAAGCAAGUUUGGUAGCCAGUUCAUAUCUGGUACAGAAGUACAUGACACCCUAUAUGUUUGUAUCUGUUAAAUCUCUCUGAAAAUAAUGGGGGAAUUUCUCUAAAUCUCAUUCUCUGUGUCAGCUAUCUGUCUAAAUACACAGACACCCCCACCCCCACAUGUAGGGCCAGAAUGUAAUACACUUUGUUUCAGUGAAACCAAAUAGCUGUCUUUUAUGAUGCUUAUAUAGUCUUUGUACUGUUCCUGUAAAAGAAAGGAUACUGUUCAGACAGGAAAUGCAACUAGACAAUGAGGUAGUAUAUUUGCUAGAAAUGAAAAAUGGAGGGGACACACAGCAUAAAACACUGAGGGCAAGACUGUGAUAUCCUUACUCACAUGAAGCAUUCCCUUGAUAAGUAGCCUCACUGAUUUUUGGGGUAAGUUAUUGCUCAAUGUGAGUAAGGGUACUACAGUCUGACUUUUAUUUAGUAAACAUUUAACUAUAUAAAGGCAUUAUAAAUCACUAUUCAUCUCCUUUAACUUGAAAAAAACCUCUCAUCCUAAUGGUGGACAGUAAGGUCAAGUCACCAAGAGAGUGUUUGAUAAUCCCCACUGGCAGAGUAAUCUGAGUUUUAGUUUCAUUGGAAAUGAACCACAGCUCGCGCGCGCGAGAGAGAGAAUUCAGCAGGGUAUGAGAUCAGCUAACUCUAAUGGUAUAUCUAUGCUGCAGCCAGAGCUGUGAAUAGCCGCUUCUGUAGACAUAACCCCAAUAGCUGUACUUUAGCUAGCUCGCUAAAAAUAGAAGUGAGGGUACAAUGAUGUGGGCUUUAGCACUGGCUGUACAAGCAAGUAUGUACUCAAAAGGAUCAGACAGACAGCACUGCGGCAUCCUCACUUCUAUUUCUCAUGAGCUAGCUAGAGCAUAACAAGCCUGGGUAUGUAUACACAAGCCAUUCAUACUCCUGUUUGCAAUGUGGACUUACCCUAAAUUAAUAAUAGUGUAUAUUGUGGUGACCUGUAUUAAGAUUUCACUUGCAGAUGGUUAGGCC